Rhagoletis zephyria (snowberry fruit fly) is the source of this 611-nucleotide long non-coding RNA. RefSeq lists it as uncharacterized. The record is from RefSeq and is a predicted model, not a curated record. NCBI's taxonomy places the organism in Eukaryota, Metazoa, Arthropoda, Insecta, Diptera, Tephritidae.
AUAAGAAAAAAAUUCUAAACAAGCUACAUUGAUUCAAUUUUCGUUGUUCGUUUUGUUCUUAUUCGCUGACAUUUGUUUUCUAAUUGCUUGAAAUUUGGUAAUUUCCUUAGUGUUUUCCUGGCCGACCUGUGCUGGUAUUGUAAUUAAGAGCUAAUACACCAUUCUCUGGUGAACUGCAGCUGCGGCCGAAUUUGAUUGUGUGCAUCAUCCUGCAGAUAUUUUGAAAUUUUGUGGACGCUUCUGUUGUGCUGCGUUCCUGCUCCGCCCGUGUUUUAUAGUGUUGCGUCCCUGUUGCGCCUUUGCAAUAGUGUGUGCGUUGUGCUUUAGACACGUUGAAAUUGUUUAUAUGCUUCUGCUGUGCUGCGUUCCUGCUUCACCCGUGUAUUAAAUUGCAGCGUUCCUGUUAACAUAAGCAUCGUCGUUUAAGUACAAAACCGCGUAACUGACAUUUGAUGCUAAAAAUUGGAUUUGCUCACACAAGUUCUUGGCUCAAUCCUUAUCCAUUCUUCCUGAUACAUAUUAGCCAAAAAUGCGAUUGCUCUUUAAAAAAAGAUAACCAUUUUGAAAUAUGAGUGUUUUCACUCUCUAGAAAAUAAUGUAUGCAACCUCGU